UCUGCACUGAAAUUUUAUCCUGCUCGCUGAGCCUCCGCUGGCUAAAGGCCAGUGCAACAUUCCUGUUGUUUUAGGAGCGCAGAUACCUUAGCUGAAGGUUAAAAAAAAAAUCGGCCCUGAUGGAGAGAUGUGGGGACUUCACCAGAUGGACUCCUCCCCUCGCUCAAAAAGUCACAUCCACUUCAAACAUCCAGAGAGGGCCCCAGAAAGUAGCACCUGCUCCACCUGGGGACAUCCGUGCGAGUCGGGAGCCCGGCCCGCUCUGGGCCGUUCAGAGAAACCUAGCCGAGAAGCGAGUUUGAGGGCAGGACUAGGAAUCCUGCUGCGGAUCGCAGGCCGAGCAGUGCCCCCUCCGCCGUCCUUUCACUAGGAAAGAAGUCGCAGGAGCAGGGCAUGAUUGACAAAGUAUUGCUCAAAAAAAAACUUCCACCAAUUACUCUGGCAAAGACAACCAUCUGUGUGCCAGUGACUCAUACAACACCUCCACUCAAAAGUAUUAAGUAUGCAUUGUGAUUUUUAACAAAAAAACCUGCGCAAAUGCUGGAUUAUGAGCCCCUCCUGAGGGUGCAGAAACUGUCUUGUUGAACUGUUUCCCCAGCCCCAACUGGAGGCCCGUGAGGUUAAAGCUGCUACCAUUAUCUACAAUUUCCUUCCUGUGGCUUUUCUUUGGCUACUACGGGGUCAGCCUAGGCAAGGGUGUCCCUGGAGGCAAUACCCCAACAGUCUCUUUGCCUCCUGCUGGGGUGACUCUGAGACUUGGUCUACACUAACUCCCAGACCUGCUGGUGGGCUGGACCUGCAGUCACCUGCAGUGGCAAUUGCCUGGUUAAGACGCUCCCCUUCCACUCCUGGUUGCAUUGCCCACUCCCCGACUGCUGUAUCCCGAGAUCAUAUCCGAAACCAACUGCUGCAUUCAAGCCCUUGUCUCCGGGCCUACUUCUGGAGGGACUCAAGCCAAACCAGUCUCUUCUGUGUCCCCAACAUGGUUCCUAGGCCACUUAUCUCCAGUGACUGAGGCCCUCAUCCUGAAGGCACUGCGGACAUCACCUCGGCUGUGCUGCCAGGUCCCACCCACCAUGUUCCGCCAUCCACGGCCUGAGGACCUCUGUCCUCUGAGAUCUCACCCAGACCUCACUCGGGAUGCCAACUA
Sciurus carolinensis (gray squirrel) is the source of this 1150-nucleotide long non-coding RNA. RefSeq lists it as uncharacterized. Lineage: Eukaryota; Metazoa; Chordata; Mammalia; Rodentia; Sciuridae. The transcript has 4 exons. The record is from RefSeq and is a predicted model, not a curated record.